GUCUGGAUAGUUUAGUGGUCUAGAGCAGUUGCCCGGAAAGCGAAAGACUCGGGUUCGAUUCCUGAUCCAGCCA
RNAcentral lists this transfer RNA (73 nucleotides) under Camponotus floridanus (Florida carpenter ant). It matches the Rfam family "tRNA". Rfam says of the family: Transfer RNA (tRNA) molecules are approximately 80 nucleotides in length. The record is from Rfam by way of RNAcentral. Lineage: Eukaryota; Metazoa; Arthropoda; Insecta; Hymenoptera; Formicidae.